AUUGAACGCUGGCGGCAGGCCUAACACAUGCAAGUCGAACGGUAACAGGAAGCAGCUUGCUGCUUCGCUGACGAGUGGCGGACGGGUGAGUAAUGUCUGGGAAACUGCCCGAUGGAGGGGGAUAACUACUGGAAACGGUAGCUAAUACCGCAUAACGUCGCAAGACCAAAGAGGGGGACCUUCGGGCCUCUUGCCAUCGGAUGUGCCCAGAUGGGAUUAGCUUGUUGGUGAGGUAACGGCUCACCAAGGCGACGAUCCCUAGCUGGUCUGAGAGGAUGACCAGCCACACUGGAACUGAGACACGGUCCAG
This 310-nucleotide ribosomal RNA is filed under the name uncultured bacterium. RNAcentral describes it as "bacterial SSU rRNA". It matches the Rfam family "Bacterial small subunit ribosomal RNA", at positions 30 to 334 of the family's 1533-position model. RNAcentral also lists the same sequence under 1 other name. The record is from RNAcentral.